Molecule: small nuclear RNA, 107 nt
Organism: Cebus imitator (Panamanian white-faced capuchin)
Lineage: Eukaryota; Metazoa; Chordata; Mammalia; Primates; Cebidae
Source: Ensembl
GUGCUCACUUCAACAGCACAUACACUAAAAUUGGAAUGAUACAGAGAAGAUUAGCAUGGUCCCUGCACAAGGAUGACAGACAAAUUCAUGAAGCAUUCUAUAUUAAC